AGCUUGCUGGGCGGAUUAGUGGCGAACGGGUGAGUAAUACGUGAGUAACCUGCCCUUGACUCUGGGAUAAGCCUGGGAAACUGGGUCUAAUACUGGAUACUACCUCUUACCGCAUGGUGGGUGGUGGAAAGGGUUUUACUGGUUUUGGAUGGGCUCACGGCCUAUCAGCUUGUUGGUGGGGUAAUGGCUCACCAAGGCGACGACGGGUAGCCGGCCUGAGAGGGUGACCGGCCACACUGGGACUGAGACACGGCCCAGACUCCUACGGGAGGCAGCAGUGGGGAAUAUUGCACAAUGGGCGGAAGCCUGAUGCAGCGACCCCGCGUGAGGGAUGACGGCCUUCGGGUUGUAAACCUCUUUCAGUAGGGAAGAAGCGAGAGUGACGGUACCUGCAAAAGAAGCGCCGGCUAACUACGUGCCAGCAGCCGCGGUAAUACGUAGGGCGCAAGCGUUGUCCGGAAUUAUUGGGCGUAAAGAGCUCGUAGGCGGUUUGUCGCGUCUGCUGUGAAAGCCCGGGGCUCAACCCCGGGUCUGCAGUGGGUACGGGCAGACUAGAGUGCAGUAGGGGAGACUGGAAUUCCUGGUGUAGCGGUGAAAUGCGCAGAUAUCAGGAGGAACACCGAUGGCGAAGGCAGGUCUCUGGGCUGUUACUGACGCUGAGGAGCGAAAGCAUGGGGAGCGAACAGGAUUAGAUACCCUGGUAGUCCAUGCCGUAAACGUUGGGCACUAGGUGUGGGGGACAUUCCACGUUUUCCGCGCCGUAGCUAACGCAUUAAGUGCCCCGCCUGGGGAGUACGGCCGCAAGGCUAAAACUCAAAGGAAUUGACGGGGGCCCGCACAAGCGGCGGAGCAUGCGGAUUAAUUCGAUGCAACGCGAAGAACCUUACCAAGGCUUGACAUUCACCGGACCGCCCCAGAGAUGGGGUUUCCCUUCGGGGCUGGUGGACAGGUGGUGCAUGGUUGUCGUCAGCUCGUGUCGUGAGAUGUUGGGUUAAGUCCCGCAACGAGCGCAACCCUCGUUCUAUGUUGCCAGCACGUGAUGGUGGGGACUCAUAGGAGACUGCCGGGGUCAACUCGGAGGAAGGUGGGGAUGACGUCAAAUCAUCAUGCCCCUUAUGUCUUGGGCUUCACGCAUGCUACAAUGGCCGGUACAAAGGGUUGCGAUACUGUGAGGUGGAGCUAAUCCCAAAAAGCCGGUCUCAGUUCGGAUUGAGGUCUGCAACUCGACCUCAUGAAGUCGGAGUCGCUAGUAAUCGCAGAUCAGCAACGCUGCGGUGAAUACGUUCCCGGGCCUUGUACACACCGCCCGUCAAGUCACGAAAGUUGGUAACACCCGAAGCCGGUGGCCUAACCC
This 1354-nucleotide ribosomal RNA is filed under the name Kocuria sp. VM4. RNAcentral describes it as "16S ribosomal RNA". It matches the Rfam family "Bacterial small subunit ribosomal RNA", at positions 77 to 1441 of the family's 1533-position model. The record is from RNAcentral. Lineage: Bacteria; Bacillati; Actinomycetota; Actinomycetes; Micrococcales; Micrococcaceae.